UAGGUCCGCGCAUGCACAUGUCA
This 23-nucleotide small nuclear RNA is filed under the name Arabidopsis thaliana (thale cress). Its description in RNAcentral is "snRNA_15135". Lineage: Eukaryota; Viridiplantae; Streptophyta; Magnoliopsida; Brassicales; Brassicaceae. The record is from RNAcentral.